UCACUGGUUCUCAUACGAUCACCAAAGUUAAGCAAUGUUGAGCCUGUUCAGUACCUAGAUGGGUGACCACUUGGGAUUACCAAAUGCUGUAAG
Molecule: non-coding RNA, 93 nt
Organism: Acanthosepion pharaonis
Lineage: Eukaryota; Metazoa; Mollusca; Cephalopoda; Sepiida; Sepiidae
Source: the annotation of a GenBank genome assembly